ACCUUCUGUUGCCUAUUCUAAAGAAGAGUGAUUGAGAGUUAUACGUUUACUAGUUGGUCCGUAAAGGUUUGCAAAAGAUGUGCUUAGACCAAAGGAUAAUCCUGUUUUCUGUUGUACAGGAGCAAAUGUUGCAGAAAUCUUGCCUGAAAACAGAAUCAAAAAGACAUGUCUACUAUCAUGGAUAUGAAUUCAGACACACUUAGGUUCAAAUCCAGACUCUACUGAGCGGCAGCUGUGUAGGUUUGGGCAAAUCCUCCCAAUUUCUACUCCUUACCCUCCUCCUCUUUAAAAAGGAGGCAUUUUCAUAGAAUACUGUGGUGAUUUAAAUGCUACAUUGAGUAGACAAUACUGAGUACAGUGACUAAAGCAAAGACGCAUAAUAAAUGCUAGCUAUUAAUACCAUCAAUAAUAAUAGUGUCACAUCUACUGUCAUCAGGAUAAAAAAUAUUCUGGUUAUGUUUCAAGAUGAGGGCUGUCGGGGAAUCCACUCUUAUUAAUAAAUACAUCCACAAAGCAAUAGUGGUCAAUGAGGUAAAAGAAAGAAAUUCUCAAACACAACAUCAUUCUGCUUUGAUUUCUGUGCAAUCACUAGGUCAAAGGCUGAACCACCUACUCCGAAGCAGUCUCCACAAUCACGCUUUCUACAAACCUUUUCCUGGAAAACUGAUUUGAAAAACUCACAUCUUGCAUCAGUGUAGCUGGUGCUCAAUAUGUGUCUAAGGAAUUGAAUUCUUAAAGUACCCAAUAUGGUUUGAAGAAUGAGCUGGGAAAAAAUACAAAUUAGCCUCUCUCAAGCUUUGGGUUUUCUCAUUUAGGAAUUGCUUCAUUGUCAGGAUUUAGCAAAUCAAUCAGUUCAUUUGUCUCUGAAUUAUUAAAAUAAAUGAAUGCAAGUUACUUUUCAUUUACUUAAGCUUCCCAAAGGAUGUGCAUAUAGAAACAAGAAAAUCCUGAGACAUUUGAAAAAGGCAGGACAGGGCCAAUCUGUUAGCCACUAAAAUGCAACAGAUACCAAUGGGGUUUUUGAAGCCAUCAAUUGCCCUAAAAAAAACUGUACUUCAAAAGUUUUUGAUUCCUGGGUAAUGGAAGAAAGGCUCUUUUUACCAUUAUGUCCUUUGUUUAUUUUCCUUCUCUCCUGAGAGCUUCCUCUCCACUUCUCUAAAACGUUUAGCAAUGCUCUUCUAAAGCUUGAGGCCGAAAAAACGCCUCGUUAAAACAACGUUCAGAUGUGUUUGUCUUCGGACGUUCUCUGUAGUUGGGGGUAAAUCCAUCCUAUGGAGACAGGGCUUGGGAUUCUGAACGCGUCACAGAAUCCCAGUCUUCAGACUUUUGAAGGUUCACAGGCAAAGUAAGAAACUCUUGACAGAGUUUAACAACAGCUUUGUGAAGACCUCCUUUAAACCUAAGAGAAAACUGGCCAAGUUCUCCUGCCCAGAAUCACUGAGUUCAUUAUGUUUGUCCUGCCUUCCAAGGGCAGAAGCUUCUUGUAAAGACUAACGUCUGCUUUGCAAAAUUAGCCCGAGCUGAUUAUGACAAAAUGUUUCAAAAGACAAGCUAAAACUUGCCACGCCUCUCUCAGGCAAGAAAGUGUAGAACCACAGAAUGGGCAGAAAGAUUGCUGCUGAGUGGCUCCGCUGAAAAGCCAUCCAACAGAAGAUGAUGAAUUUGCACUUCUGGUCCGAACACUGCAGACGUUGUAGAACUGAAGUAGGGGUAACAGGUUGAGUCAAUGACAUCCACAGAGCCGCAAGCCUUGGUCCCGGAGGACUUCUAGAAUAUAUUAUUAUCUCAUGGAUAUUCGUUAACCUGUCAUCCUCUCUAAUAGGCUACAGAUUUCUCAAGGGAUGAAUGUUUGUGAGUCUCCAGUAAAAAGGAUGGUGCCUGGCACAAAGUGAGCACUUGAGAAAGGUCAGCUGUUUUGUUGCUAAGACUAUUCUAGAGCCAUUUCUGACUACCAUUCAGGAACCAAAGGAAACCCAGAUAAGUCUUGAAAAUUUUGAGAUCUCCCCGUCCAACUUUUAUUUAUUUUUUUAAAAAUUGGUUUCAUGCUUACUCUGAAAAAUUUAGGAAACCCGGCAAAGUUAAACAUUAAAUUAAAAAAAAAAAAACCUUACCAAUGCACCCAACUAAUAUUUUGAAAAAGUCCUUCCAGACUUUUUCUGUUUAUACAUUAAAAGAAAAUACAGAUGGGAUCAUACUGCAUGUAGUGUUUUGCAUCUUGUUUUUUCUGUCUAAUCCAUGUAAAGUGUUUUUCUAUAUCAUGCAAUAUUCAGAUUCAUAAAGGCUGACAGUGGUGUGUUGGCACGUGCUUGAACUGGCUUUUGAGAGUCAACUGUCUGCCUUCUUCCUAGCCCUCCAUUUAGUGACAUAAUGUUGACGGCUUGAAAUCAAUUAUAGGGAGAAUAUUUACACCAUGGCAAUUGACAAAUGUUACAAAGCAGGACCUUUUUUUUUUAGAAGUGUCAGUCAUUAAAUAUUUACUAGCACUCCGCUGACUGUACAAUAUUCAUUUUAUUUACCACCAUAAUUUGUUUAACCAAGCCCUCGCUAACCGACAUCUAAUUUGUUUCUAAGUUGGCGUGUUUUGUUGAAUGCAGAAGUUAGGCAUGUAGCUAUGAUCAUUUCCUUAGGACCCACUUUCAGGAGCUGAAUUACGAGAUUAGACUCCAGAGCAUUUGAGAGGGUCUUGAUACAUGUGGCCAAACUGCCCUCUAGAGCAACUGUUCUAAUCACAUUCCCAGGAACAGAUGCAACUGAGGAUGUUCCCGGGAAAGGUGGGAGGUGAAUCCCUGGCAAGGGGGAAGGCACCAAGGACAUACCUGUGGGCACUUGGCAGCGCUGUAGCAAUCCCCGGCUGUGGCAAAAGGGACGGGAUGUCCUUCGCUUGUCCUUGCAAACUGUAAGUCAGUGGCUGUGGGGUGGAGAAGGGGUUAAAGGCAGGGGAAGGUAAGAGUGGGAGAAAGGCAAGGAAGGAACAGGACAUUAACAAGGAGACAGAAGGGAAGAAGAAGAAUAAGAGGGAAUGGGAGAGAAAGAAGCAAUGUGAAAUAUUAGUGGGUAAAUGGAUCCAGAUGCUCACUUGCUUUUUCCUGAUUAUAUUUGUGGUUCUGCGAGCUUCAUUCCCCGAGCUUCAUCAGCCCCGAAUGUCUGUCUCCCCACAGUAUGGAAGCCAAAAAGGGGGUUUCAAAUGACUUUGGAAUUGAUUCCUACAUAAAUAAAUAUGUGAAUCACCUCACUUAAAUGUAGCGUAAUUGGCUGGCUGAGAACCUCCUGUUAUCCUGCAUCACAGGCUUCAGGCCAGGGGGAAAUAAGCCAGGAAGAGAGCAUUUCCAGCUACUUAGGAGCGAUUCCCUGAGGUUUCCUCUGUCCUCCUGUUGCCUAGGCAGUAUUAUUGCCAAAAUGUGGCGCAAUUAGAACCCCCAUCUUGAAAUUAUUGACAGCAGUUUCUCAAGUUCGGGGCUAGCCUGUAAUUUUUUAUUUUUUAAAGAGCCAAUAAAUACAAGGCUAACCCAAAGUGCACGUUGUUAACCCCUACUGUAGCUCCUGAGAUGAGCUCUGCACAUGCAAAGGGAGGAGUUAACCCGAGAAUCCUGCAAAAGCUGUCUGCCAGGGAGACUGGAGGCCAGAGGCAGGUUUCAUCUUUCUGCCUCGUCUUUCAGGAAUGGCCUUAAUCUUCCUACAGUUCACUACACUUUGGUGAGAGGGAAAUCCCAGUGCUCCAUUCUGCAAGGAAAGGGGACCUUGCCUGCUUCAGCAUGUAGAACCCUUGGGUCUUAGCUGGGGUGUUUUCCUAAGUGGAGAAACUGCAGACCCUCUGCCUUUACCCCUCAUCAUUCUAGCUCAAGGAAAUUUAAAGUAUCUUGGUACAAAUCACGUUUAAUCUAUCUCAAGAGAAAAGGAAUGCAAUAUUAUGGGUAUAAUGUUAAUGAGGAAAAAUUAAUUAUUCAUUAUUUCUGUUUUUCCUUUAUGCAAGGGAACAUGUUGAGGUAUUUUAGCUGUCUUUAACCACUCCUAUGAUUAAUGUCCCCAACAGAGAUGCAGUGUUGGCGAGAGUAUGAAAUCAGCCCACACACAGGCUAGUUUAGAAAAGGUAAUUCUGUGUUCCAUUUUUCUUCUGCACAUUGACGACUGAAUAAAAUUAGUUUUACGUCUGUGUAAGCAUGUACACUGUGCUGGCGAAAGCUGGGCUGGGGGUGGUGAAUGUUGCCCAUGAAUUUCUUGGCUUUGGGGUUUUGUAUCUGCUGUUUAUUCUACCUUGAACACUUCUGCUACCAGCUCUGCUUCCCCCACACUGACCCCUGUGCCUGGCUAACCCUAACUUGACCUUAGGGUCUCUAUUUCAAUGUCAUAUUUUCUGGAAUGCUGCCCUGACCUCCCACAUUUCAAUGGUGCUUCUUUCAUGCACUUUCACCUACUUCAUUCAUUCAUUCAUUCAUUCAGUUCAUUCAUCACAAAUCGGAGAGAGCACCUGCCUUGUGCGAGCCACUUUCCAGGCACUGGGGAAUACAGCAGUGAACAAAAGAGACAAAACUGCCUGCAGGACUAUCCUCGCUGCACUGUAAGCUCCCAAUGUUCUUCCUCUCCAUACUAGCCAAUGUGCAAUGUGCAAUGUGCAAUACGCACCUCCCUGCUAGCCAAUGUGCAAGACAUGCUUGCUGUCUGAAUGGAGAGAAGAACGCACACGUUCCCAAAGGACUCCUCACUAACUUACUGAUUAUCUGCAUGCUGGUCAGGUCUAUUCUGAUUUUCUGAAAACUGGAAAACCCAGCGGCCGUGUAAUCCUUCCGACAUUGGCAGUCAUCGCGCCGGCUCCCGUUAUAGGGACAUUCUGUUGGGUUGUGUAACCUAAAUUAUACAGAGAAUGUUCUGGUAAGGAUGGGAAAGCAUUUCCAGGGAUCUCCAGGCCUCUGAGAUCUUCUGAGCCUGGCUCUCCUACCUGUGCCCAUAAACCUCGGAGAAAUUCUCAGAGUCUCCAUGCACCAGUGUCACGUACUCUUUGGGGUGGUCAGAGUGCAUCCCCGCACAGAAUAUCUGAAAGACCAUAAAUAACCCAUGAAGAGUGGCUCAGAAAUGAGGUAAUGAGAGCGGUGAUCACUCACUCUAAAAACAUUCUUGAAAUAAUGACUGGUGUCUGACAUUCACCUUCAGAAGCUUUCCUCUAAUCAUCAGGAAAUAUUCACCAUCUUCACUGGCACCUUUAAGUCUUUUUACCUCCUUGCAAUUCUGGGGUAACUCACCUAGAAAACACCAAUCACAAAAAAUAGGGUGUGAUGAUCCGAGAUGUGAAUUAUCUGCCUAUAGAAUGAAUGACAUUGUUCGCACUAAAACUUUUUAGCAAAGCGAAUGAUUUCCUUCAGAAAAAAUUCUAUAUUUCUAAAAAGGGCAGGCAAUCAAAUGAACAAAGACAUCCUGUUCUUCAUGCUAAAGAAAGAUAACUUCAGUUGGCCAACUUACAGUUAUAGACAUUACGGCAGGUUUUUCGUUCUUCUGGCUUCAGAUCAGUGUGGCAUAAGUGGCUGGGUUGGUCCUCAUUGGUUAAACAUUGCACAGAUCUCUGCAUCACUCCAACACCACAAGACACUGAGCACUGUAAGACAAAUGAGAGUCAGCGGUGUGGCUAUGGAAUGUGGGAGGCAUAGGCUUCUGGUGGUGUGGAGCUCAGAGCCCUGAUGUCAUCAUGUACAGGGUGUCACUUCAGACCCUGUGUCGCUGAAUACAAAAAGCUGACAUUUACUGAGCACUUACUAUGGGCCAGUCCCUGUGGUAAGCUUUAUAGAUUCAUGUUCAUGCAUUUAUACAAACAUAUAUAUGUAUAAAACACUUAUAUGUGUAAUUUUACACACACACACACACACACAUAAUUUUUUCAUUUAAGCCUCACAGUACCCCUAUGAGAUAGUAUUACCAUUAUCUUAUUUUUACAGGUGGGAGAUUGGGGCUCAAAUUUAAGGAAUUUGUUCAAGGUCAUAGUGGAGCCAGGAUUCAAACCCUAACUGCUUCCAAGUCGUUAUACACUUUUGCCUGAUCACUUUUCAUUUCUUUCUUUCUUUUUUUUUUUUUUGAGACAGAGUUUUGCUCUUGUUGCCUAGGCCGGAGUGCAAUGGCACAAUCACAGCUCACGGCAAUCUCCGCCUCCCAGGUUCAAGCGAUUCUCCUGCCUCAGACUCCCGAGUAUCUGGGACUACAGGCACGCACCACCUCGCCCAACAAAUUUUUGUAUUUUAUUAAAGCAGUGUGUAGAGGGAAAUAUAUAGUACUAAAUGCCCACAAGAGAAAGCAGGAAAGAUCUAAAAUUGACACCCUGACAUCACAAUUGAAAGAACUAGAGAAGCAAGAACAAACACAUUCAAAAGCUAGCAGAAGGCAAGAAAUAACUAAGAUCAGAGCAGAACUGAAGGAGAUAGAGACACAAAAAGCCCUUCAAAAAAUCAAUGAAUCCAGGAGCCGGUUUUUUGAAAAGAUCAACAAAAUUGAUAGACCACUAGCAAGACUAAUAAAGAAGAAAAGAGAGAAGAAUCAAAUAGACACAAUAAAAAAUGAUAAAGGGAAUAUCACCACCAAUCCCACAGAAAUACAAACUACCAUCAGAGAACACUAUAAACACCUCUAUGCAAAUAAACUAGAAAAUCUAGAAGGAAUGGAUAAAUUCCUGGACACAUACACCCUCCCAAGAUUAAACCAGAAAGAAGUUGAAUCCCUGAAUAGACCAAUAACAGGCUCUGAAAUUGAGGCAAUAAUUAAUAGCCUACCAACCAAAAAAAGUCCAGGACCAGACAGAUUCACAGCCGAAUUCUACCAGAGGUACAAACAAGAGCUGGUACCAUAUCCUUCUGAAACUAUUCCAAUCAAUAGAAAAAGAGGGAAUCCUCCCUAACACAUUUUAUGAGGCCAGCAUCAUUCUGAUACCAAAGCCUGGCAGAGACACAACAAAAAAAGAGAAUUUUAGACCAAUAUCCCUGAUGAACAUCGAUGCAAAAAUCCUUCAUAAAAUACUGGCAAACCGAAUCCAGCAGCACAUCAAAAAGCUUAUCCACCAUGAUCAAGUUGGCUUCAUCCCUGGGAUGCAAGGCUGGUUCAACAUAUGCAAAUCAAUAAACGUAAUCCAUCAUACGAACAGAACCAAACACAAAAACCAUAUGAUUAUCUCAAUAGAUGCAGAAAAGGCCUUCAACAAAAUUCAACAGCACUUCAUGCUAAAAACUCUCAAUAAAUUAGGUAUUGAUGGGACAUAUCUCAAAAUAAUAAGAGCUAUAUAUGACAAACCCACAGCCAAUAUCAUACUGAAUGGGCAAAAACUGGAAGCAUUCCCUUUGAAAAUUGGCACAAGACAGGGAUGCCCCCUCUCACCACUCCUAUUCAACAUAGUGUUGGAAGUUCUGGCCAGGGCAAUCAGGCAGGAGAAAGAAAUAAAGGGUAUUCAAUCAGGAAAAGAGGAAGUCCAAUUGUCCCUCUUUGCAGAUGACAUGAUUGUAUAUUUAGAAAACCCCAUCGUCUCAGCCCAAAAUCUCCUUAAGCUGAUAAGCAACUUCAGCAAAGUCUCCGGAUACAAAUACAAUGUGCAAAAAUCACAAGCAUUCUUAUACACCAAUAACAGACAAACAGCCAAAUCAUGAGUGAAUUCCCAUUCACAAUUGCUUCAAAGAGAAUAAAAUACCUAGGAAUCCAACUUACAAGGGAUGUGAAGGACCUCUUCAAGGAGAACUACAAACCACUGCUCAACGAAAUAAAAGAGGACACAAACAAAUGGAAGAACAUUCCAUGCUCAUGGAUAGGAAGAAUCAAUAUCAUGAACAUGGCCAUACUGCCCAAGGUAAUUUAAAGAUUCAAUGCCAUCCCCAUCAAGCUACCAAUGCCUUUCUUCACAGAAUUGGGAAAAACUACUUUAAAGUUCAUAUGGAACCAAAAAAGAGCCUGCAUUGCCACGACAAUCCUAAGCCGAAAGAACAAAGCUGGAGGCAUCAUGCUACCUGACUUCACACUAUACUACAGGCUACAGUAACCAAAACAGCAUGCUACUGGUACCAAAAUAGAGACAUAGACCAAUGGAACAGAACAGAGCUCUCAGAAAUAACACCACACAUCUACAACCAUCUGACCUUUGACAAACCUGACAAAAACAAGAAAUGGGGAAAGGAUUCCCUAUUUAAUAAAUGGUGCUGGGAAAACUGGCUAGCCAUAUGUAGAAAGCUGAAACUGGAUCCCUUCCUUAUAUCUGAUACAAAAAUUAAUUCAAGAUGGAUUAAAGACUUAAAUGUUAGACCUAAAACCAUAAAAACCCUAGAAGAAAACCUAGGCAAUACCAUUCAGGACAUAGGCAUGGGCAAGGACUUCAUGACUAAAACACCAAAAUCAAUGGCAACAAAAGCCAAAAUAGACAAACAGGAUCUAAUUAAACUAAAGAGCUUCUGCACAGCAAAAGAAACUACCAUCAGAGUGAACAGGCAACCUACAGAAUGGGAGAAAAUUUUUACAAUCUACCCAUCUGACAAAGGGCUAAUAUCCAGAAUCUAUGAAGAACUUACACAAAUUUACAAGAAAAAAUCAACCCCAUCAACAAGUGGGCGAUGGAUAUGAACAGACACUUCUCAAAAGAAGACAUUUAUGCAGCCAAAAGACACAUGAAAAAAUGCUCAUCACUGGCCAUCAGAGAAAGGCAAAUCAAAACCACAAUGAGAUACCAUCUCACACCAGUUAGAAUGGCGAUUAUUAAAAAGUCAGGGAACAACAGGUGCUGGAGAGGAUGUGGAGAAAUAAGAGCGCUUUUCCACUGUUGGUGGGACUGUAAACUAGUUCAACCAUUGUGGAAGACAGUGUGGCUAUUCCUCAAGGAUCUAGAACGAGAAAUACCAUUUGACCCAGCCAUCCCAUUACUGGGCAUAUACCCAAAGGAUUAUAAAUCAUGCUGCUAUAAAGACACAUGCACACGUAUGUUUAUUGUGGCACUAUUCACAAUAGCAAAGACUUGGAACUAACCCACAUGUCCACCAAUGAUAGACUGCACUAAGAAAAUGUGGCACAUAUACACCAUGGAGUACUAUGCAGCCAUAAAAAAGGAUGAGUUCAUGUCCUUUGUAGGGACAUGGAUGAAACUGGGAACCAUCAUUCUCAGCAAACUAUCACAAGGACAGAAAACCAAACACUGCAUGUUCUCACUCAUAGGUGGGAACUGAACAAUGAGAACACUUGGACACAGGGUGGGGAACAUCACAUACCGGGGCCUGUCAUGGAGUUGGGGGCAGGGGGACGGAUAGCAUUAGGAGAUACACCUAAUAUAAAUGACGAGUUAAUAGGUGCAGCACACCAACAUGGCACAUGUAUACAUAUGUAACAUACCUGCACUUUGUAUACAUGUACCCUAGAACUUAAAGUAUAAUAAUAAAAAAAUUAUAUUUUAAGUAGAGACAGGAUGUCACCAUGUUGGCCAGGCUGGUCUCGAUCUGCUGACCUCAUGGUCCGCCGACCAUGGCCUCUCAAAGUGCUGGGAUUACAGGUGUGAGCUACCAUGCCUGGCUGCCUGACAACUUUUCAAGACUGAGAGCUGCCUGGUCCAGAGCCAGGGGGCUGUGACAGUCUUCCAGGGCAGUCCCAAUUUAAAAUAUUCUGCCUUGUUGUAUCCCAGUGCAAUGAAGUAUUUCUUACAUAGAAGCACUAGAACAUACAGACUUCUUAACAACAUAAGCAACAAUAACUACUCCUUCUGUAACUCUUAUGAGUAUCAGAUUUUAAGCAUUUUUUUAAAACAAAUUUGCAGUAAAAUAUAUAUAAAACAUUUGCCAUUAUAACCUAAGUGCUUUUUAUAUAUAGGCUGAGUAUCCCUUAUUGGAAGUGCUGGGGACCAGCAGUAUUUUGCAUUUAAGAUUUUUUUUUUUUCAGAUUUGGAAUACUUGCAGUAUUACUAGUUGGAUAUUCCUAAUCUGAGCAUCUGAAACUCAAGAUGCUCCAAGGAACAUUUCAUUAUGGUGUCAUAUCGACACUAAAAAAUGUUUGGAUUUUAUAGCAUUUUGGAUUUUGGAUUUCUGGAUUAGGGAUGCUCAAUCUGUGUAAACUCAUUUCAUCUUCACAACUACCAGUUUUGCAGAUGAGAAAACUGAGACACAAAGGUUAUGCAACUUGCCCAAGGUUGUUCACCUGGGAAGUGGCAGAACCAGGGUUCAGAUCCAGACUGUCUGGCUUCAGAGCCCAUGUUCUAAGCACAAAGCCACUUUGGUAAACAGAAAGAAGUCCCUUUGAUCCCUGUUAGCCCAUUUCAAGUUGCUAACUCCAGGGUUUCUCCUGGAAGUAGAGUUACUAAGGAGAGCGGGUUAGGCAGGACAUGUUUAAGACGGGGUUGAGAUCCAAGGGCUUUCAGAUUUGAGUGCUCAGUCUUCUACUUACGCUCCCCCAGUUGCCAACUCUCCAGGUGGCCGAGACAGGGCAGUCCCUCAGGUAACAGGGGUGAACACUGGGGGGCUGCGUGCCUGGGCAGUUGAUGGUGGUUUGGUAGCUGUAUUCAUAAUUCUCCUUCCCGGUGUAAAUCUCGCUGCACGAGACAAGCCUUUGUUUGUAGCCUUUUCCACAGGUCACUGAGCACUGCAAAGACAGGGAUUGAGAGGAGAGGUUCGAGCAGUUCCUGGGGGCAGCCCACAAUAGGCCCCUGACCUCCACACCAAGCGCUGACCGUGUGACUAUGCUGCAGAAAGCUCCCACUUCAUUAGCUUAUUUAUUCAUUUCAAGUGGCAGGCCCUGAGCGCACAGGAGACAGGCAACCCUACAGGGUGCCUCUGGGAUCUGGUGCUUCCACUGGCAUCUUCUCAGCCCCCACUGCAGGUGGGGUUGCCUCAAACCCCUUCUGGAGGUUUCGAAGGGAGGAGGAGGGGGAGGUGCUCCAGCUGUCAUUCAUUCAGUUUGCAUCUUCAGCCCAACUGCACAGGUUGGCAAACUGCUCUUUUCUAAAGCUAUGAUGACCACCAAAUUGGGAAGGGAAGAGGAGACAGCAGCAGCUGACCCGUGAGUCGGCAUUUUGAGUGUGAAAUCCAAGCACUGAGCCAACGGGGACUCUGGGACUGUUUUCCUUCCCUCCGUGGUGCUGUUGGCUUUCCUACCUGCCCUCCAUUUAAUUUCUUUCUCCUAUCUCUCUCCCUGGCUAUAGAUUUUUUUUUUUUUUUUUUGAGACUGUGUCUCACUCUGUUGUCCAGGCUGGAGUGCAGUGACAUGAUCUCCGCUCAAUGAAACCUCCGUCUCCCAGGUUCAAGUGAUUCUCAUGCCUCAGCCUCCCAAGUAGUUGGGAUUACAGGUGUGUGCCACCACACCCAGCUAGGCUAUAGAUGUUGACUGGCAUGUUACCUUUCUGCUUUUCUACCUCUUGCUCUAUAUCACGCCCUCAUCUGUACUCUUUUAUCCUAAGUCUAUGGCAUUUAAACAUACUCUACCAAUACAGAAAUGCAGAAGAAAUACACAUCGUUAUAGUGUCCCAACUUUCAACCUCCUUAGCUAAGUUUUUUUUUUUAUCAUUUUCUAUAUAAAAAAUAAAACAGAGUUACAAUUAAUUUAGUUUUGAUGAUAUUUUUAGGCAACAGCAUCAAAUAACUGGUCAUCUUUUGUAAAUGUGCUUCAUAAACUUGGGGUAGAGUGCCGGUAUUCUCUAGACUUACGGUUCUUGGGUGAGGGUGGGAUAAAUACCCCAAAACAGUAUGCCACAUGUGGUGUGUUAUGCUUUUUCUGGGGUGAGGGACCACAGCUUUCAUCAAUUCUCAAGGGCAGUGAGAAGCCACAGUGUCUGCUCUGCCCUAAUGUCUCCUGCUGCUUUUAGUCACAUAGUUUUCUUCUCCUGCAACUUUUCCAGGGAAAAGGCUCUCCUUGAAGAAAUCCCAGAGGCAGGAGAGAACAAGUCCAGCUAGAGGCACGCAGAGCAUCCCUAGGCCUUCCCUUCCAGUUGGCUCGAGACAUAGAAAUGCUCUGUGUACAUUUCUUCCUUCUUUGGCUGCUGCUGUUCAAAUGUUUGAAGGCCAAGUUGACGCCAGGCCAGGAAAGUGUAAGGCCAGCCCGGGGUGUUUCAUGCAGAUGGCUAACAAACUCUGUCCAAGCUGUGGGUAAUCUUAGUGUCUGACCCAGUGUUGCAUGCAUUGACAACAGUCCAUACUAACUUAAACAAAGUUGUGCAUUUGAGAGGGGCAAGGAAUGAGACUCUUGACCCCUACAAACCAGGAGCAAAAGUCGUCCCCUGGCUAUUUAUGUGGGGGGGAGCCCAGUGGGAGACAGGCAUUUGCUGAUGGAACUGAGCCCCAAAUAUGGUCAGGCUAAACACAGAGGCCUCCACAUCUCUAUAAAGAAGCUGGCAAGAACAGAUGCUCUCAGCUAGCUGAUAUCAGCAUUGUGAAAAUGUUGACUGCUGCUGGUUUCCUCAAACCAUUUCAGAGAGAAACUCAUACUGUAGACUCUGCAUGCCUUGGUGUAUGUGCUUGGUUCCACAUGAGCACGUAUUACUUUUCUAAAUUGAAAAUAACAGCAAAGCAAAACAAUAAGACUGUGGGCUCCCUGCAUGAGCUGUACACUUCAGGCCCUGCUAGAAAAUGCAUGUGUCAAUCAGGACUGACAGAGCUCUUCUUUGCCAGUCUAGCUCGGGCCUCCGCCAAUUCAGGUGGAGUAGAGCUCAGAGAAAAACACACAAAGAAGCCUCCAGGUAAUAGAGGUCCCAGAGAGAAGGCAUGUCUUCUUUUCUAGAGAGGAUGCUGGUGCCAGUCCCUUUCGGCCCCUCUCCCCUCAUUGCAGGUUUCCUUCCCUGUGGUCCCUGUAUCUGUGCUAAAUACUGUUUCCAGCCCUGUAGUUGUUGCCCAUAAAUUUGCAGACUUUUCAAUUCAUGAUACACCUGCAAAUUUACAGAAAUGUGGAAGGCUUCCUUUUUUCUUUUCAAUCUUCUCCCUGUUUCAUCUUUUGGGGGUUAUGGUUAUAUUAAAGCUAUAGGAGUAAUAUGACUCAAGUCCCAUAAUAAAAGUGCUACACAAGAGAUAAGCUAAGAUGAAGAUGUCAAUCUUGGCCAGGUGAAAGGUGAGAUCCCCCUGCGUUGGGAUCUGGAUGGGUUGGAACCUAUGCCUCAAACCCAAUAUCAAGAACUAUUCUGAACACUCAUUUGGAUUCCACAUGUUCCUGGCUGGCCAAGAGCAAAUCAAUGUCGUAAAGAUCAGAACCAUGUCUCCUCUUCACUCUCUAAGGGCAUGCGGUACUACUCAGGGCAUACCGAGAAGAUGCAGGGUUGGGGUCGAGCAGGGUUUCCCAGCCUCAGCACCACUGACAUUUGGGCCAGAUAAUUCUGUAUUGUGAGGGCUGCCCUGCGCACUAUAGGAUUCUUAGCCCCAUCCCUGGCCUCCACCUUCCAACCCUGGCCAGUAGGGUCCCCUUUCCCCAGCUGUCACAACCAAACUGUCUCUAGACACUGCCAAAUGUCCCCUCGAAGGACAAAAUUCACAGGAAUAAAGGAUAGGGCGAGAUAAUUAGAAAAGACUUUGGGAUCAGCUUUAGUGCAGGAAGCAAUUCAACACCCAACACACACAUCAUCUAAAUGCAAAUAUUCAUCUCAUUAACAUGUGAAAUUGCUGCCUGUCAAACUUUGAAGAGACCCAGUGGCAGCAAUCAUAUUACCUAACAAUUUUCAAUACCUUUACUGUGAGUCCAGAUGCCUCCCUUUCGAAUCUCUAAAUGCUUUUGGGCAAAUGACAACUGGUUUGACUGCUACAGAUCUCUCAUACAGAUAUGAACAUAUUACGAUGUUUGAAAAUAAUAUAAUCAUGCUAUGAUUACUACUGGUUUAUUACCAUUAAAAAGGGUCUAGAUAAGCACUGUGCACAGGAAGAUAUAUGAAAAAAUGGUACUUGAGAUACUUCGGAUAUUAUAGAAAAUUAUUUUCUUCCUCUGAAGCUGUUUGUUAAACAGGCACAACACAUCUGGUUCAUGAAAGGGGUUUGUUUGCCCCUUACAAUGUUUUAAAACCAAAAAUUUCAGCCCCCAUUUUCAAGUUAGGAAAUCUCACAUACUAGUCCAGAUUUUUAGCCUCUCUUGAAAAAUCAGGUCUGGUAACGCUAGACCACAUUUCUGCAUGGCCACAGCUGGAGUGAAAGAGAUUCUGCUCCCUUCACACAGCAUGUGCUAGUUUGUCACAGUUGCCAUCUCUCCUUGUUGUAUCCCUGGCACUACAGUAUUUUCUUAUACUUAACUGUCUUCAGGCACCUCACAGCAUCCUAUGAGUUUGCAGCCCCUGUAAUAAUUUCUUCUUUAUGCCAAUAGGACAUCAAGGUGAAUCACAGAAUGUAGACCUGAAGGGACUUAGAGACCAUCUCUUACAUCUCUCCCGCUUUGCAUACAAGGAAUUCUAGCUUGGGAAAGCUGAGGACUUGUCAGAAAACACACAGUUCACAGUGGCAAAUCGGGCGGGUAGCCUCAAGUCUCCCACAUUCCUGCACUCAUCCCUCCACUCAUCCCUCUGCCACUCUCAGGCCAUGGCUGAGCUGACGAUGGUUACAGUUCCCAGGACGGUACCUCUGACCAUUCUCCUGUGAUCCAGACAUACUCGCAGGGUUGCAAACUACAGCUUUCACGGUCCACCGGCCGCUUGCUCACGUCACAGCGUGCCCCAUGCACCUCGUUUUUGUUGUCAUCCACACACACCACCUUGCGGUACCUGGAGCCUUCGCCGCAGGUCUUGGUGCACUGUUAAAUACAAGCAAAAGAGAAGAAUAAACCGUAGUUCCUUAUAUCCUAUGACUGUAAUUAUGUGUUUACCUGUCUACAUAGCCUUUAAGAUCAUAAGAGCCCUGAGGGCAGGGAUUGCCAGAGAACUUCUCGUUUUUUUGUUUUUUUGGUUUUAUUUUUUUUGAGAUGGAGUCUUGCUCUGUCUCCCAGGCUGGAGUGCAGUGGCACGAUCUUGGCUCACUGCAAGCUCUGCCUUCCGGGUUCACGCCGUUUUCCUGCCUCAGCCUCCCGAGUAGCUGGGACUACAGGCGCCCGCCACCACGCCAGGCUAAUUUUUUGUAUUUUUAGUAGAGACAGGGUUUCACAGUAUUAGCCAGGAUGAUCUCGAUCUCCUGACCUCGUGAUCUGCCCACCUCGGCCUCCCAAAGUGCUGGGAUUACAGGCGUGAGCCACCACUCCCGGCCGAGAACUCCUCAUUUUACCCCAGUUACCUAACAACUCUGUUCCUGGCAUUCACCACCCAGCUGUCUAAAGGAAGGAAGGAAAGUAUAAAUGAGUCAAUCUCAGUUUAGAAAGGACCUUAAAUCCUAUUUACUUCAAACACCUACUCACAAGUGACUUGAUAUUGACACUUAUGGCCAAAUGUUUACCAAGCUGGUGUCUAAAUACCUCCAGGAUCAGGGACAUCAGUACCUUCCCAGAUAGCCAUCUCAUUUCAUAACAUGGAACCAAACAAAUCUCUUUGUAUGUUCCAGGCCCCUGUCCUAGUUUUCCAUUCCAGGAAAGCAUAAAGGAAAGUUUCAGCUCUCACAAGUAAUCUCCUUCAGCUAUUUGAAGAGGGCUUUCCUUUAGCCCCAGGUGCCUUUUCUUCUCCAGGGGAACUGCUCUCAUGCCACAUCAUUCUGCAAAUAUUCACUAAGUUCCUACUAGGUGUCAGGCCCUGUGACGGGUCCUGGGUGAACAAGAGUGCACACAAAUGGCACAUUCUCUGUUUUCAGAGAGGAGCUUAUAUGUUAGUAGCAAAGGCAGACAACAAAGAAGAUAGCUAGGUAGUGAGAUUUAACAAUUACUGUAAUUCCGUUUUCCAGAUGAAGAAAAUGGGACUUUGAGAGCCUAAGUUACUUGCCCCAGGUCACACAUCUCUUUGUGAGGUAGACGGGACAGCUAUGUUUAUUCCCAUAAGCCAAGGGAUGAUUACAGAGCAAGUGGUAUGUUUCAUUCUAGGAUAAUCUCUAUGUCCACAGAUUCUUAUUUGUUUUGCUUUAGCCAACACCAAACCCCACCCCUGAAGUUUAUCCUUAGUGCCCUGUGUUGCUAAAGGUCACUGAAAGCCUAUUGUAUCUAAAGCCUCUGUGUCACCCAACAUUUCAAGACUCAUUGGGAAGCCCCAGUGAGCUAAGUGAAACCUGUACCAAGGACUGCUGCAGUUUCUUAAUUUAGGCCAGGGAUUGAAUACCCUGUUGGCAACGGGCUUAUCUAACAACUGUGAUUUUUGUUGUGUGGUCAGAAUGUUGUCUUUUCUUUUCUUUCCUUUUUUUUUUUUUUUGAGACAAAGUCUCCCUCUGUUGCUCAUGUUGGAGUGCAGUGAUGUGAUCACAGUUUGCUAUAGCCUCGACUUCCCUCCUACAUUUUAGUCCCAAGUAGCUGGGACUACAGGCAUGAGCCACCACGCUCAGCUUAUUUUUAAAUUUUUUGUAGAGAUGAGUCUCACUACGUUGCCCAGUUUGGUCUUGAACUCCUGGGUUUAAGGGAUCCUCCUGCCUUGGCCUCCCAAAGUUCUGGGAUUACAGGCGUCAGCCAUCAUGCCCAGCUAGCACACUGUCUUUUAAAAUGUCUAAUUUUAGUCUCUUUACGGAGAACUACAGACCCCACCUCUCUUUUUCAUCUAAUGGGCAGCCUUUCCUUUUAUCCCUGCCUUGCCUCAAAGGCAUUUAUGUUUGGAACUCAGCUUCACUCAGAAAUGUCUUCUAUGAUAUGCCCUAUGUCUUUUUUUUUUUGGUGAUAAAAUACACAAAAUAUAAAAUUCACCAUUUUAACUAUCACAAGUAUAGAAUUCAGUGGCCUUUAGGACAUUUGCAAUAUUAUGCAACCAUCACCCCAUCUAGUUCCAGAAUAUUUCAUCACUGCAAAAGGAAGCCUUGUACCCGUUCACCAGUCCCUCCCCAUUCCUUCCUUCCUGUAGCCCCUAGCAAACACCAGUCUGCUUUCUGUCUCUGCAGAUUUGCCUAUUCUGGGUAUUUCACAUAUAUGGAAUCAUCCAAUAUGUGGCCUUUAUUACCUGACUUCUCUCCCUUAAUGUUUUCGAGGUUCUUCCAUAUUGCAGCAUGUAUCAAUAUUUCACUCCUUUUUAAGGCUGAAUAAGAUUCUGUUGUACGGAUAUACCACAUUUUGUUUAUCCAUUCCUCAGUUGAUGGACAUAUGGGUUGUUUCUCAUUUGGCUAUUGUAAAUAGUGCUGCUAUGAACAUUCAUGUACAAAUUUAAACACCUAUUUUCCAUUCUUUUGGGUAUAUAUACCUGGGAGUGGAAUUGCUGGGUCAUAUAGUAUGCCCCGUGCCUUUCGUGAGCUACCCUGUUCCUUUAGGAAGGAGAAGGGAUAUGCUGGCAUUUCCUGGUAGCCCCUUGUCACUUGCAAACUAAACUUAAAAUUUCUGCUGCUUGGGAGUAAACCUCAAUAUCUAGAAUAUGGAGUCAGUCCUCAUUUUUCUGGAGCAUAAACAUAACUUGAAACCACUGUGAGGUGAGCAUGGAGGAGCAGAAUCAUUUCAAAUUAGUGCAGGAGGCCGGCUGAGCCCAGUUCCCUAGCUCAUCCCUAGCUCAGUGGUUUUGGGGUUCUCUAUUCCCCUAGAAAAAAAGUGUUUUUUUCAUCAUUAAAAAGGUGAGAUAGAGGGCCACCGAAUGUUAAAAAAGAAAAGAAAAGAAAAAUUUAAUCUGUGAUGUGUAGAUAUAUGCAAAUACUUAACCACCCAUAGAAAAAGUAAUUCCUUAGAAAAUUAGGACUUAGGUGACUCUGAGAAGAUCCUAAUUAUUGCGCAGCUAAACCUGGACUAAACCUUCCAGUAUCCUCUCUUGUUUUCACUAAUCCACAAGGCUUUAAUCUGCAUCAAUAAGUAACAGUUCAGAGCAGAAAUACAAUGAAUCCUAAAUACUUUAUGCUUGUUAAGCGUUUCUCUCUCAGUCUUAAAGAAUGGUUAACUACUGUAAAGACUAUUUUGCCAGCGGUGGAAAGGGGAGCUGGAAAAAUUUACCUUGAAUAUAACUUUUACAAAAUUAAAAAUUAAACUAAGUAAAUAAGUGACUUGCCCAGUGUUUCCUAAAUUAGUCAACAGCAGCUCUGAAAAUCACAUGGCAAGGGUUUUCUCCUGGAAUCUUAAAUCCUAACUAGGGUAUGGGGGCUGGGUAAUCAGAAAACAAAUCGAGUCCAUGCUAUCAGGUUUCAUCAGCUUUUUGUAAUAUGGCUUCCCCCUCAACCCUCUACGAUUUAUGACUCUUUCCCCUGUCCUGGAAUAUGAUCUAGAAUGUUCUGAAAAACAGUUGGAAAGUUCAAUUAGCCUCAUUUUAAUUUCCAAAAGGUUUUCUCUAAUUUCAGUAUGGCUUUUAGAAAAAUCUCUAACACAAGUAACACCACCAGCCUCCUUGCAUUUCAUCACACACUAUAAUUCAGAAAGAAAAUAAUCACAGUGCUGGACUAAAUCGGGCAGCUCGCCCAUUGUUCUGCAAGCUACAUGUGCCUUUAAAUAUGCUGAAAUUAACAGGGGGAAAAGAACUUCUCCGAAUUUGAGGGUGAGGAAGACCUAAAGUAAACCCUGAAGGUGGUAUUUUAUUCAGCCAGGUAGGUUGGCCACAGAGUGAUGGUCUGAAAAGGAUCAUUUAAUGCAAUGGGUAGAAAUUUUCUUUGCUUAAAGAUUAUAAUCAAGUUGCUUUACACUUUCAAAUAUAUCUUUUGGUGCAAUUCCCUAACCAUGGGGGGAAGAAAACCGCUUGAGAGUCACAGGCUCUACCUUUUAAGGUUGUUGAUUUUCUCCAUGGAUGAAAGACCUUGUCUUCUCUAGUGCUGGGUUACCAUUGUUGCACAGUGUAUGGACGGCAACUCACAGAACCACAGGGUUCCUGGGUUUUUAUGUCAUGAGAAGCAGCAAUGACAAAUCAGUUUAUCUAGCGUUGCUUUAAAUGGCAACAACGAAAAAAGCAGUCCUUACUUUAAAGCUCAUUUUAAAGUCAGGUAUACAGAAUUUAGACAUUUUUGCUCCCAAAUAGUAUAUAUUUGUUAGGAGGUGCGGUGGGGAGAAGGAGGCAGAAAUAAUACUAUGGAGACACUUUGUAACUUUAAAGUCAUUCAUUCAUUCAAUCAAUCAGUAUUUUACAAUGAGCCAAGGUCUAUGCUGGGGCCCCGGGAGGCAGCCUCCAUGGCUUCGUACCCUGUCUCUCUCCCUGUUAGGACACCCAGGGUGGCAGCUAUUCCCAACUUGGGUUCCCAUGUGUUAGCUCAGCUGGCUGACUGGUGACCCCUGGGGUUUAACACCUAGGGCUACCUGUGCAGUUGUGUAAGCAGUUGUGUUUGUAACAGAGCAUGUAAUUGAGUAAGAAGCCACCAGGGAGAGAAGAGGAAACACAACGGGGCAAUUCCCAUGAUGCUGCAAAGGUGGGCCCAGGUAGCAGCAGAUGAGCAGGAGAAUGAUGGAGGACAUCAGUUCACCAGGCAAGGAGGGGAAGAGGACAUUCUUAGGAGGGGCUCAGCAUGCACGGUGGCUGGAGGUGAGAAAUGGCAUGGGUGGAGAAGCGGGGGAGCAGAAUGACCACAGCAUUUUGGGGUUUUCAGAGCAGAUUAUUUGUGGUUUGGGAUUUUUAGAGCAUCCCUAAUGCCUAAUGCCUGGAACUUCACAAGGGAUUGAUAAACGCUGGUUGAAUAAAUUAAUAAAAUGAGCAAUAAAGAGUUCGUAUCUGGCUCUGUGCGCACAUCAAAACCUGGUCAUUCCCUACUGUUAACUUCAGGAAAAUCUUUUAAAUCAACUGACCAAGGACCUGCUGCUCAUUUCUAACUUUUCUGUGUUAAGGAGAUGCACUUGGAAAUCAUUCUACAGCUGAUCUUAAUAAAAGCCCUCAGACUCCAAGUAUGUAUCAGAGUGGCCCAAGUCCCCAUACCGCACCAAACAGCAGCGAGGUGAGCAGUUCUGCAACAGUCAGACAUAUCUGAGCACAGCUUGUCCAUGGCAUUGUGAGAAGAAAAUAAAACAGCUGUUCUUACAGGAAAAACAGAGUUUGACUGUGCUUUUAUUUUUUUAUUUUUAAUGUUUUUGAGACAGGGUCUUGCUCUGUUGCCCAGGCCGUAGUGCAGUGGCCUGAUGAUAGCUCACUGCAGCAUUGACCUCCUGAGCUUAAGCAAUCCUCUCACUUCAGCCUCCCAGGUAGCUGGAACUACAGGUCCAUGCCACCAUACUCGGCUAAUUUUUUCUAUCUUUUGUAGAGAUGGAGUCUCACUAUGUUGCCUAGGCUGGUCUCAAACUCUGGGGCUCAAUGAUCCUCCCUCCUUGGCCUCCCAAAGUGCUGGGAUUAUAGGCGUGAGCCACUGUGUCCAGCCUGCUUGACUGUUCUAAAAGUCAUUUUAGAAUGCCUUUAUUCUAUAGAGUGAAAGAUGAAAGUCCAUCAAUUAGCAGGCACUGUUCUAUGUUUUUUUCCUUCCUUCCUUCCUUCCUUCCUUCCUUCCUUCCUUCCUCCCUCCCUUUCUUCCUUCCUCCUUCCUUCCUUUUUUGCUUCCAUCUUUCCCUCCUUCCUUUCUCCCUCCUUUCCUUUCUUCUUUCCUUCCACCCAUCCAUUAUUUUGUUUCCUUCAUUCAUUCACAGAUUCAUUCAUUUAACAGGUAUCUUUGAUGUUGUAGGUACCAUGUUAAAUGAUAGAGAAGAUUCUGGUGAACAAGCUUCCUGACCUUAAAUAACUGAUAACAUAGAUGAGAAAAACAGGCAAUGAGAAUUCCAGGUGUUAACUGCCAGAGUACAGUAAUCUGCGUGUGUUGUGAGAGCUGAGUGGAGGAGCAUCUGACUCAGAUUUAGUGGGGUGGUGUGAUUGGCAAAGGCUUCUGAGAGGAAGUGACAUCUAGGUUGAGGCCUGAAGGAUAAGAAAGGGUGACUGAGGUGAAGGUCAGAGGAAGGUGGUCUUAUGAUGAAGAGGUACUACAAGAGAAGAGUGUAUUCCAGGUAAAGGGGGAAAAGAACACAUGCAGGACCUGUGAGAUCUAUUCCUCAAUGCUGCAGAUGCAUGGCCCCAUACGAUCACAAUUCAAAUUUGACCAGAAGGACCUCUGCUGCUCUAAGUGAAUUUAUAUGUCAGAUUGUGAUACUAUUAACAAGUAAAUCCUUUGUGAUAAUAAUUCUCAAAAGAAUUAAAAAGUCUUUUUUAACUUUUUUCUUCCAAACAGCCUCAUGAGCAUUAUAAUUCUAAAGUGGGUAAAACUGACCACUGCGAGGACAAAUUACUCACCUGAAGCUGGCGGGUGAUAUUAGAAGCCCAACAUUAUAAGGUGCAGGCUGAGUCAAACUGCUGUCAUCACCAGAAGCCUCCAUCGGAAGGCCACCGUACUAAAAAGAAGUCUACUUUGGGAUGGCCUAAAAUGUGCUAGUCACCAUGUCGAAUCAUGUCAUCUCACCAAAUCCUCACUGUGACCCUUGAGCAAAGUCUGCCAUAGAAUUCCCAUUUGGCAGAUGAGCUAAGUGAAGUCUAGAAAUUCAGAGUCAACUUUUCAGAGCCACACACUGAACAGAAUUUUGCCUACAACAUGUUGUUUCUAGGAUGUAAACAAAAUGAGAUGUGGAUGUGUGGAUAGAGCACUUUUCUCUUGUCCAAUUAUUCUACCCUAUAUCUGAAAGUCUGGGCUCUACUCUCAUGGUAUCAAGAAGGCCCCUUUCCCCUGAACAACCAAUGGGCUUCACAAUGAACAGGAAGUCCACUGAGGGGCUCCAACAUCAUCAAGACUCGCCUGGUGACAUGGCUUAAAGUCUGAUAGCUAACUAGAUCAAGAAUCUCCUUUUUAGAAGGGGUAGGUGUUACAACCCAGUAAAGGGAAUACACUUUGAUAGCAACUCUCCAGUAAGAGGCUUGGCAAAUCAUUGAGAGGAAAAUAAAAUAAUUCACUUUAGGUGUAUUUGGCAUCGGAUUAGUGAAGAUAAUGAUUCAGAGUGUAGGUGCCAGCGUGCAAGCUUCCGGGCUUCAAAUUCCAGCCAUAUUAUUUACUAAAUGCAUGAUCAUUGAUAAAUUAACCUACCUAAGCCGCAAGUUGCCCCUAUUAAAUGAGGAUAAAAAUAUAAAUACUACAUCAGAGAGUUAUGGAAAGGGCUAAAUGAAGCACUUCAUGUGAAAAUACUCAACAUAGUGCCUAGUUUGUAGCUUAGUAAACAAUAAGCUUUAUUAUUUUUAUUAUCUUCAGUAUUAGGGCCAUUGUACUAUACAACUCUAGGGGACGCUCCUCACAUUGUAUAAAAAUGGCAUCCCUCAAAGUUGUGCAGUAUACAACCUGUGUGGCUGUACAGAACAUCCCUGAUGACCAUGGCCAUGGUGAGGGUGCAGAAACUGUGCUUCUCUAGGCAGAUGCUUGGAUUAUUUCUCAAAAAGAGGAUGGUGCCAUAUCCUACGGACCAAGCAUGCAAUACACCUUGCCAACAAACUGGUGGGUUUUAAUAGUCCACAUAGGGGACUAUUAAAAGGGGAAGCAAAAGGCAAAGUGCAUACUCAAGCAAACAAGAGUUCUGAGGUGGUGGCCAGGGACCGCUAAGAAAGAAGGGGUAUCCUAUAAUGGGGGGCUCCUGCACAUCCCAUUCAGUGGGCUGAGAGGCUGCCCUGUGGCACACUCUCUGACCUCAGGUCAAGACGUCACUAGGUGUGGGAGAAAAGUGGAAACGUGUGCCUGCAUCAGUGGAUAUCAGGUAAAACGGUGGCUGAAAGAAUGGAUGUGAGAGGCGGUGGCAGCAAGAUCGGAGGUGAGGGCUGUGAUUUAGGGGAGCCUGAAGGGUUCUGUCUUAUCAAGUGACCACCCAGUUUACUGUUGAACAAGGGCGCUUUUGAUCAUAAAAGUAGGAAGAAUUAAUAAUUACAUGAGGACUACCCCAGGCAAACAGGAGGCGUGGCCACCCUUUUCCUGAUUUGAUCAAUUAAGGUAAUUGCCCAGUUACUGUCGUCCUUCACGCUCAGUCUUGCUGCUUUGGGGACAUUCUGAGCAGGCUGUCAGCAGGCCUUGCAUGUAUGGGAAACAUGAAGACUUUUGGUGGGGCUUCUCCCCACCUCCAGCUGCCCUGGGCCUCACUCUGCCAAUGAGAGGCCUCCUGUAGAAUACCAUAGGAAUAUCAUAGGAGAUACUCCUAUGAUAUUCCGUCCACUUUCACCACCCCAGUAUUCCUUCCUUAGACCCUCCACUUUGGGUGAAGGCAGAUGAGAAAGCGUGUUCCCAGGAGGGUGACUAUUAGACUCUGCUUUUCCUGUUACUCACAGAGUCUUUUCUCUUUGUGAGAAUGGCAACCCUCUAGUAAGCUUCUUAAAUAGAGGCCCAGGCCAGGUUAUCUCCUGAAGCCGUCUAUUCUUCCACAGAGUUUAACAGGAAUAUUUGAGUAAGGUUUAAAAAAGAUCCAUCUGCACGACACAUGCAAAGAAGUAAAUUUUAGGCAUAUUGUGCAUGAUCAGAGAAGAGGAAUUUCCUCAGUGCAUAUGUGGCAAGGUUUUUCCAUUCUUCGGGAUGCAAAAGGAAUUGUAAACAGAGUGUGCAUUUUCGUGAUUGGCUCUAGCAUUUUCAAAAGCUGGCUAAAGCACAAGCAGUCAGCUUAGAUUCAUUUCUGAACACUCUCUUACUUUCCGCUCCUCGGAGCAGGGUUGAGUUUAGCGUGACACAAAGAGGGAGAUGGAGAGAGCAGGCCAUGGUAGGUCUGAAAAAAAGAGAAUCAAGAGGUCACACUGAGGGGGAGAGCGAGAGAGAUGAGGGAGUCUCCUCUUCCUUCUAUAUCUGACGUUGCCAAUCCCCAAACCAUAAUAGAUAACACUAUUACCUCCAGUUUUCUCAGAACAACUCUGAAAAGUUAUUUUAUCCCCAUUCUACAAAUGGAUAAUCCAAGGCUCAGAGAAAUCAAGAAUCCUUGUUCUAAUUCCCUUGGCUAAUGUGUGGCAGUGCUAGGAUAUGAACCAAGUCUGUAGAAUUUUAUAGUCUCUAGGGUUCCAAAUAACUGGUGUGGCUCAAGAGCUGUUAAUCUGAAAUGUAACUGCUUUAGGCAUUCCUCCCUGCCACUGUCUGGUGGGAAUAAAAAAGUAAAGAAGGAAAACAGGAAAAAGACUGAGUAGAUGGAGAGGGUGAGUUUCCUAAAGAAAAGAAAUUACUGCAACCAAUGGAAGUAAUCCAUGAGGAGGCGAGGGAAGAGGAAGACAGGGCUGGGCGGCUGAAUCCCAAUGGGGUAAAGAAUGCAGUUCUAGUAUUUCUUAAUGGUUUAAGAGAACAAGCUUAGCAUGAAGUCUUGCUUCUUCCACUUGCUAGGUGCUAGGUAUGUGACACUUGGACAAAUGACACAGAUUCUGUGAACCUCAGUUUUUUCACCUGCAAAAUGGGAUGAUGAUAAUAAUAAUAAUGCUCACCUUGUCUGGUGGUUAAAAAGAUUAAGGGAAGCAAUGAACAAAAAGUACCCAGCACAGUGCCAGGGGUACAGUCUAACUGUUCUCCAAACCAUACCCUUUCUUUAUGUUCUGAAAAACUCUUCAUGGUGGGGAAUUUCCUGCCUUAUUUUUCAUUAUCUCUGCACCUCAAGCAGCAUGCAUUUUGUUUUUUAUGCCAACAUCAGUGGAUAUUGUUUUGCUUUCUAAUUCUUUCCCCCCCUUUUCUACAGUUUAAUCUUCUGUUCUGGAAACAGAGGUUACCUCCUAUAAAACCUCCCUGGCCAAACUUUUCCCCAUGGACACAAUGUUUUCCUUAACCAAACAUUAACUUGAAGCCAGGGAAAAAGCAAGGCCUGUCCACUUCUGCACGGACCAUCAACGGAGCAGUUUCUUCAGAUACCAUCCUUUUUUUUUUUUUUUAAAUGUUAGAAAUCUUUCACUAAUUAAUCAAGGUUUCACAUGAAUGCCUAUCUUCUACCUGACAGCCAAAGUCAUAGAAAGAGGAAAAAUACAGAGUAGGUUCUACCUAAAGUCUGCCCUGCGGCUAUUUAAACAGAUACAGAAUGACCAAAUCUGGAGACACGUAUUUAAAAUAUUCCUUCUAUCUCCCCCUCCUUCUGUGAAAGAUAUCUGAAUGCAUUCGGCCCACAGCCUGUUAAAGUUUUUUUUUUUUUUUUUGAGGCGGCCAGACUUGGAACACUCAGGAAUACAGACAGACGUAGGAAUUGCUUAAAAACAAGAAGUUCUCCCACCCUUGUUGGAGCGAAUGCGCGAGUCUGACAGUGAACCUUUUGGGAAAGAGCCAGCAUUGUAACCGUGCUCGGUGACUUCUCUGGCUUUAUAGGGAACAGAUGUGAGGAUAGCAAGGGGCGCACACGUGAAAUGCCUGGCAGGUACCCCUUUGUGGCUCUACUUACUUCUUGCCAUUCCUCUGCCCUCCAAGUGUAGAGGGGACACCGUGGGCCUUGGCAGUCGCGUUCCGACUCCGGUCUGGUGUAUGGGUUGCACUCGGUCUCUCUGGCUAUUUUGUGUGUUCCGAUCUGACAGCCCACAUGCCUCUGCUGUACGCCUCGGCCACAGGACACAGAGCACUAAGAAGACAGAGAACGUAAGUGGGAGCUUCGGCUCAUUUAUUUUUUGGGGGGGCGGGGGGUGUCGAGGGUCACAGAGGAGGGGAAUGCACUCCUAAUCCAAUGACUUUCAUAGCUAUCACAUCGCUUUCUAAUUUGCAAUGAAAGGGAUCCUAGAUCAUGUCUUAAACCUGGAAACUCACUGCUUAUCUUAUCCACGCUGGAGAGUGAGGAAGGUGCUCAAGUUUGGAGGAAUCCCUCAAGUUAAUGUAAUUCUUAGAGGAUUGAAGAGGUUAAUAAAAAUCAUUAUGAAUCAUUUAGCACAACCUGGAAAUAGUGCUGCCAUGAGAAAUGAAAACUUGAAAUGAUUUCUAUCCUGGAGGAUUUGAGACUCAUGAAAACUGGAGAGACAGUGUUGUACAAGAAGAAUUUCUUGGCAGAUUAAAAAUAUAACCCAAGGAGAAGUAAACCACUGAAGAUUUUAGGACUUUAUAAGUAGAAUUAUUUUCUCCAGUCUCUUCCUUUUCUUGCUCCUAUUCAUGGAGAUAAGGCGAUAUUUUUUUAACCACAGAAUUCACUAAAGAAUUUGUGUCUAUUUACAACCUCAGAUGAAUAUAUGAAGAAUAAAAGCUGACAGGAAAAACCAUUUCCUCGGGCUUAAUGUUUUCAGCCCUUGAAAAAUAUUGUUAAUCAUGUUGAAACAUUUUGCUGACCAACUUGCAAAACACCAUAUUAAAUCUGCAAUUAACUUUCCUCUAAAUUAAUUUUUUAAUGGUUUCCUCAUUGCUGGGUUUCAUAAUCUCACUUAUGGCCAGGCCAAGAAUUAUUGUCUUGAUUAAGGUUUUGACAGCCAGAAACUAAAGGCAACAUUUGGAAAGAAUGGUAUAUUAUUACACUUAGCUAUUAAAAAUUAUUUCCAAAUUUUUGUGAUAGCUCAGCCUCCAUUUUUUGGUCUGGUGUUGAGAAAAUAAGCUUAACAUACAUUAAAGCCAUAUUCCUAAGAGGAAGUCUUCUUAAAUAAUAGAAUCAUGACCUUUCAAACUUGAAAAAAUUAUUUUCCAAUUAACCUGUAGCAACAUUCAACUUUCUUUGAGACUAUUAAUGGAAAUUUACUAUCAAGAAUCACACCCAAAUGUAUUCUGCUGAAUGGUAAUUUUCUCUCCAUUUCAGAUUUUAAGAAAACAGGUAACGAUAUUUAGAAGGUAACUUGAGAAAUCAUACUGUUUCAGAUAAAUCUAUGCCAGAGAGGAGAACCAUAUGUUCACAUCAAAGCUAGCUGAACAGAAGAAAAUAUUUUGGAUCAACAUAGCUACUAUUGUUUGGGCUCAAUUGUAUUAAUUGGAUUGAAUGAGUUUGUGACCCACAAGAAACCAGACUUUUAAAGUCAUUAUGUCCUGGGUGUAAUGGGAGGAUUCCUGAACACAAGUGAUGACCCUAUCUAUAGAGAAUGGCCAUUUAAUGCUCAUUAGAGCUACAUGAAUAAUAUUUCCCAUUGAUUACACUGGAAAAGAAUGUACUGUAACAUGAUAGAGUUACCCCAUAAAUGAUGGACAUGUUCAAAUAUUAUCAUCAUCAAUAAACAACAACCAAAAAGUCUUUUGACUAUUUCAAUUUGGGGUCUUAAAUAUAAAAGAGCACGUUUCUGGAACAAUAUAUCCAAAUACAAAUACAGAAAGAAUAUUGUAAACAAAUUUGAGUUUGGUAUAGGACUCAACUAUAUGCAGAAUCUCAUAAUGUUUUAAUAACCUAAAGAAAAAUGAAAACAUAUUUAAAGACUUUUAGAAUGUAUAAGACUAUUCAGGCUACUAAAUAAAUGAAACCUCUUUUUGAAGCUAUUGUAAUUGAAAAAAUUACUUAUGGUUCAACGAAGGCACGGUACUAAGAGCCAUAAGUAUCCAACAUUUAAAAAAUCACUUCCUACAAUGUUUGAUAAUUUUUCAAAAGACAAAUUAAGACACAGGAAAGUUCAAUUAUACGAUAUGUCAUUCUGGCUUCUGAUUUUCAUGAUGCAAAGCCAGCUUUGAAAUACCACAUUCAAAAGUUUCUACAUGACUUAAGUGCUCACAGCAAGGUACAAGCCUGCCUUUCUGAAUAAUGCAUUCACAGUAAUCUUUGCUCAAAAUGAGGUCCACUCCAUCGGAGUUAGUUUUCUGUGUUCAACUUUUCUUCCUGUGCUAUCUCAAGGGAGGCAACAGUUUGCAUAGAGAGCCAGCCAGGCUUGCUUGGAAUUCUGAGAGAUUUGUGCAGGCACCCCAUGAAUAAAACAGCAGCAGAAAGACCUCUGUGUGACCCCGGAGGCAGUGAUGGUGGUGGUAUGUGUAUGUGUGUGUAAAUCCAAGUUUUCUUGUUCUGUUCAGUACACCUUUUAGUUCGUUUGCAGAUGAAAACAUCUGAAUGGCCUCUAUUAAUGUGCUCCCCCCACAGCCAUCAUCCCACCACCACAGUCUAUUCGUGCAGGUUUCAAAGUAGACGUUUUUCACUCUGAACUCCUGAGCUGGGAGCUAUGUUUCAUCUCUCUCUACUCCCCACUGUGCAAUGCUAGUAUGCAGAACUCACCAACUUAAAAGGGGAACUUGAUGCUUAUUUCCAUAGAGAGAAAGAAUCUCCAUUGAACUUUUGAUGUUUAGGGAAUCAUAAUAUAUACUUGAAAACCUAGAAAUAGUUUUAUAUACUUUCUUCCAGGAUUACUGCUGAAAUUAUGGUGAUGACAUUAAAGCAGCGAUUAGUUUGAAAAACAACUAUAUAAACCAACUUUUAUAAGUAACAAUAAUAGCAAUAAUAACACAAACUUUUACUAAACACUUACUAUAUGCUAGGGUUUCUAUACUAGCAUACAGUAUAUGCUAGUAUACUGAGGUUUCUCAAUUAAAUAAUUCUUUUUUGUGUGUGGGGGGGGCGUUGUCGUGUGCAUUGUAGAAAGUUUAGCAGCAUACCUGGUUUGUAACUACCAGAUGCUAGUUCCCCCUUAUUCCCCCCCAACUUGUGACAAAACUGUCUCUAGACAUUCCCAAAUGUCCCAUGGGGUACAAAAUCACCCCCAUUUGAAAGCUUAGCUCUAGGCUAAGCAUUUUACAUAAAAUACCUCUGAUACUUCCCAAUAAACCUUUUAGGCAGAUACUUCAUAAAUAAAUAAAACAAAAAAACAGAGAUAAUCACCCGAACUCAAGCAAAAACAAAACCAAAAACACAAAGUAAAAUUUGUCUUAGACAAGGUAGCAUAGCUACUGCGAAUGUGCGUUUGCGAUCCCAGUUUUUAAAUUGGUGCUAAUAUGAUGCAGUCUUUUGUAGCAGGUCAGUGAGGGUGUGGGUGAGAGGCCUGUCUUCAAACAAUUCAAUACCAAUGCUCAUGCUUCAAAUACAAACAAAAUAAAUGGAAAGCACAAAAUACUAAAGCAACUCUAGUUCUCCUCACUGACCAUGUGCAUAUGGCUUCCUUAAUUUCUCAAAGAACACAAGCCACACAUUUGCCACAUUUCUCCAUUAAACACUUGAAGGACACUUCAGAAUGACAUCACAAUACAGCUGCUCUAAUUAUAAUUAUAAGAAAAGUCUUAAUCAAGAAUGGAUGGUAGAUUCCAUUUCAGCAUUAGCACUGGAGAUCUUUUAAAAAUUGAUGCUUAUUUCAUUGAAUGUAAGACAACACUGAUUGCAAAACACACCAUUAUAUUUUGUAGCACUAAGAAAGACAACAAGGGCUGUUAAGGAAAUCAUGACAUUGCAUAGUUUGUGAAGCCCAUCCUGACCACAAAGGUGUUGAACUGUGAAGAAGAUCUGCAUCUCAGAACUGAUGAAUGAC
RNAcentral lists this long non-coding RNA (29140 nucleotides) under Homo sapiens (human). RNAcentral describes it as "long non-coding RNA NONHSAT193984.1". Lineage: Eukaryota; Metazoa; Chordata; Mammalia; Primates; Hominidae. The record is from RNAcentral.